Parus major (Great Tit) is the source of this 773-nucleotide long non-coding RNA. RefSeq lists it as uncharacterized. The record is from RefSeq and is a predicted model, not a curated record. The transcript has 3 exons. NCBI's taxonomy places the organism in Eukaryota, Metazoa, Chordata, Aves, Passeriformes, Paridae.
AGGCCUUUGCUAUUUAAGACUCAUAUGCCAGCAAUGGAACACUUUUCUACAAAAAAAAAAAAAGAGAAUGAGAUAUAAGGGGUUGGUGACCAUCUGCAAAGCCUAGUAUGAUAUUAAAGAGGAGCCUGUAGUGCUUUGGCAGGGAAGGACUAUCACUUCUGCAUCAGGCUUGUCAGAUUGUGUAUCUGUUCACAAACUUCUUCCACUGUACAUCUAUACAGGUUUUGGUUCUGUUCAUAAAUUAACAUCAAUAAUUUUCUGACUGACUUUAAAAAUUUUAAUGGAGUUAUUGAAGAAAUGAUACUGAAAAAAAUACAAAACACACUUAAGUAAACUAUCAGUGUAGCUGUCAUUAUUCUCAAUUCAAUAGAAUAAAAGUUUAAGUAAUUCAAUAACUAACUUAGAGAUUUUAACUUUUUCCUCUAUUUUGGUUAAAAAUAGUGGUUUUUUGAGGGUUUUUUUUUCCCACUUUCACACCUCUGGAAAUGGUACCAUUCUAGAGUAACUGCAUCAUUCUAGAAUAAUUGUAUUUGACAGACAUUAUUUAACUCUACCAAAAUUAUAUCCUCUAACAAGUCUUUCCAUGAUGAUAGUUUAUGAUAACAUCUUUGGUGUCAAAUACAGAAGCCUCAUUUAAGACAAAAGAGUUCAAUGAAAAAUUAAAUAACCCCACAAAUUCUAAAAUAUGCUCUAUUCCCCAUUUCACAUUUGUUCUUGUAUUUUGAAUUUGUUCUUGAGCAUUACCUUUCCUUUCUCUCUCUUAGUGCUCUAUG